Molecule: long non-coding RNA, 342 nt
Organism: Suricata suricatta (meerkat)
Lineage: Eukaryota; Metazoa; Chordata; Mammalia; Carnivora; Herpestidae
Exons: 4
Source: RefSeq, a predicted model, not a curated record
GGCAGCCUGGCUCUCACCACAAUGUCUGUAAAGGAACUUCAGUGUUCUAGAUACUGAAUGAACGGCUGGACUGGAGAGAGCUGGCCUCCCACCCCGCUCGGACAUCCAGGUCUUACGCCAAUAUUACACCUGUGUUUACAGUUUCCAAGAGUCCCUUCCCCCAGCUGCCUCUGACAGGCUCUGCACCUUGACCGGGGUGUUUCCUCAAGACGUUAGAGCCCGGGUCACCACCUUGAGCCUGCCUGGGUGGGGGCAAUGUGGUGAAAGACCCUGGAAGAACACCGGUGGUCUCUCUCUUGCCCCUCCUGCUCUCCAGAGAGGCGGAAGAACACAAUGAUAAGC